This 254-nucleotide long non-coding RNA is filed under the name Bos indicus x Bos taurus (hybrid cattle). RNAcentral's name for it is "lncRNA (ENSBIXG00005004859.1)". The record is from RNAcentral. Lineage: Eukaryota; Metazoa; Chordata; Mammalia; Artiodactyla; Bovidae.
AGAAAAAUCACAGAACUCUGUUAGUGAAAUGUAGAGAGUCAUAUUCUGUGUGGACACUAGUGUCUGAUGCUUGUCUAGAGAGGGAAGACUGAGAUUUGCAUCUUACGUCCUCAUUUCUCUCUCUCAGUAUCGAAUGGAAAGAAGGGGAAGAAGCAGGAGCAUCCAGAGAAAUGAAGCUUUGAAAUUUGGAAGGUAACAAGAGUCUGUGGAAGGAGACCCUGCUGGAAAAGAAACUUUGGAACCUAGUGUGUGGA